AGAGUUUGAUCAUGGCUCAGAACGAACGCUGGCGGCGUGGAUAAGACAUGCAAGUCGAACGGGGUUUAUAUAAUUGGAGUGACAGUGGCGGACGGGUGCGUAACACGUGAGCAACCUGCCCUAAAGUGGGGGAUAGCCCUCCGAAAGGAGGAUUAAUACCGCAUGUGGUCUUCGGAUCAAAGGUGGCUUCGGCUGCCGCUUUAGGAUGGGCUCGCGGCCUAUCAGUUUGUUGGUGAGGUAACGAGUUGGCGGGGUAACGGCUCACCAAGACUACGACGGGUAGCUGGUCUGAGAGGACGAUCAGCCUCACUGGAACUGAGACACGGUCCAGACACCUACGGGUGGCAGCAGUCGAGAAUCAUUCACAAUGGGGGAAACCCUGAUGGUGCAACGCCGCGUGGAGGAUGACGGUCUUCGGAUUGUAAACUCCUGUCAUCUGGGAGUAAGCUUGCGCGUUAACUGCGUCGCAAUUUGAGAGUAUCACAAGAGGAAGAGACGGCUAACUCUGUGCCAGCAGCCGCGGUAAUACAGAGGUCUCAAGCGUUGUUCGGAAUCACUGGGCGUAAAGGGUGCGUAGGCUGUGUUGUAAGUCAGAGGUGAAAUCCCGGGGCUCAACCCCGGAACUGCCUCCGAUACUGCAAGACUAGAGUAGUGGAGGGGGGUCUGGAAUUCUCGGUGUAGCAGUGAAAUGCGUAGAUAUCGAGAGGAACACUAGUGGCGAAGGCGAGACCCUGGACAGAUCCUGACGCUGAGACACGAAGGCUAGGGUAGCGAACGGGAUUAGAUACCCCGGUAGUCCUAGCAGUAAACGGUGCACGCUUGGUGUGGGAGGAUUCGACCCCUUCCGUGCCGGAGCUAACGCGUUAAGCGUGCCGCCUGGGGAGUACGGCCGCAAGGCUAAAACUCAAAGAAAUUGACGGGGACCCGCACAAGCGGUGGAGUAUGUGGCUUAAUUCGAUGCAACGCGAAGAACCUUACCUGGGCUUGACAUGCAUCCCUAAACCAGUGAAAGGCGGCGAGUGGAGCAAUCCACAAUUCGCACAGGUGCUGCAUGGCUGUCGUCAGCUCGUGUCGUGAGAUGUUUGGUUAAGUCCAGCAACGAGCGCAACCCCUGUGUCCUGUUACCAGCGCGUUAUGGCGGGGACUCUGGACAGACUGCCCAGUUCAACUGGGAGGAAGGUGGGGAUGACGUCAAGUCAGUAUGGCCCUUACGCCUAGGGCUGCACACGUACUACAAUGCUCAGCACAAUGUGAACCGAUACCGCAAGGUGGAGGAAAUCCUUAAAACUGAGCUCAGUUCGGAUUGUGGGCUGCAACUCGCCCACAUGAAGCUGGAAUCGCUAGUAAUGGCACAUCAGCUACGGUGCCGUGAAUACGUUCCCGGGUCUUGUACACACCGCCCGUCACAUCAUGGAAGCCGGCCGCACCCGAAGUGUCCACGCCAACCGCAAGGAGGCAGGGCCCGAAGGUGUAGCUGGUAACUGGGGAUGAAGUCGUAACAAGGUAACCGUA
This 1512-nucleotide ribosomal RNA is filed under the name uncultured prokaryote. RNAcentral's name for it is "partial 16S ribosomal RNA". It matches the Rfam family "Bacterial small subunit ribosomal RNA". The record is from RNAcentral.